Molecule: transfer RNA, 84 nt
Filed under: Elizabethkingia sp. YR214
Lineage: Bacteria; Pseudomonadati; Bacteroidota; Flavobacteriia; Flavobacteriales; Weeksellaceae
Description: tRNA-Leu
Rfam family: tRNA
About the family: Transfer RNA (tRNA) molecules are approximately 80 nucleotides in length. Their secondary structure includes four short double-helical elements and three loops (D, anti-codon, and T loops).
Source: RNAcentral
GCCUGUGUGGUGAAAUUGGUAGACACGCCAUCUUGAGGGGGUGGUAUCCAAUAGGAUGUGCUGGUUCGAAUCCAGUCACAGGCA